This 433-nucleotide ribosomal RNA is filed under the name uncultured bacterium. Its description in RNAcentral is "partial 16S ribosomal RNA". It matches the Rfam family "Bacterial small subunit ribosomal RNA", at positions 29 to 507 of the family's 1533-position model. The record is from RNAcentral.
AACGAACGCUGGCGGCAUGCCUAACACAUGCAAGUCGAACGAGACCUUCGGGUCUAGUGGCGCACGGGUGCGUAACGCGUGGGAACCUGCCCUUAGGUUCGGAAUAACUCCCCGAAAGGGGUGCUAAUACCGGAUAAUGUCUUCGGACCAAAGAUUUAUCGCCUUUGGAUGGGCCCGCGUUGGAUUAGCUAGUGGGUAGGGUAAAAGCCUACCAAGGCGACGAUCCAUAGCUGGUCUGAGAGGAUGAUCAGCCACACUGGGACUGAGACACGGCCCAGACUCCUACGGGAGGGAGCAGUGGGGAAUAUUGGACAAUGGGCGAAAGCCUGAUCCAGCAAUGCCGCGUGAGUGAUGAAGGCCUUAGGGUUGUAAAGCUCUUUUACCCGGGAUGAUAAUGACAGUACCGGGAGAAUAAGCACCGGCUAACUCCGUG